GAUGAACGCUGGCGGCGUGCCUAAUACAUGCAAGUCGAGCGAACGGACGAGAAGCUUGCUUUUCUGAUGAUAGCGGCGGACGGGUGUGUCACACGUGGAUACCCUACCUAUCAUACUGGGAUCACUUCGGGAAACCGGCGCUAACCCCAUAUAAUAUUUUGCACCGCAUGGUUCAAAGGUGAGAGACGGUCUUGCUGUCACUUAUAGCUGGAUCCGCGCUGCAUUAGCUAGUUGGUAGGGUAACGGCUUACUACGGCAACGAUGCGUAGCCGACGUGAGAGAGUGAUCGGCCGCCCGGGAGCUGGGCCACGGUCCAGGCGCCUACGGGAGGGAGCAGUAGGGAAUCUGCCGCAAUGGGGGGAAGCCUGACGGAGCAAGGGGGCGUGAGUGAUGAAGGUCUUCGGAGCGGAAAACUCUGUUAUUAGGGAAGAACAGAUGUGUAAGGAACUGUGGACAUCUUGACGGUAACUAGUAAGAAAGCAACGGCUAACUACGUG
Molecule: ribosomal RNA, 497 nt
Filed under: uncultured bacterium
Lineage: Bacteria
Description: partial 16S ribosomal RNA
Rfam family: Bacterial small subunit ribosomal RNA
Source: RNAcentral